CACCUAAAAAACUAAAAAAUAAACAUUUAAAAAAAAUUUUUUUUUGAGGGGCUGGGGAUGUGGUUCAAGUGGUAGCGUGCUCACCUAGCAUGCGGGAGGCACUGGGUUCGAUUUUCAGCACCGCAUAAAAAUAAAAUAAAGAUAUUUUAGAAAAUAUUUUUUUUGAGACAGGGCCUCACUAAAUUGCUGAGGCUGGGGGCUGGGGCUGUGGCUCAGUGGUAGUGCACUUGCACUGGGUUCAAUUCUCAGCACCACAUAUAAAUAUAUAAAAUAAAGGUCUAUCAACAACUAAAAUAAAUAAAUAGAUAGAUAGAUAGCUGAGGCUGGCCUUGAACUUGUGAUCCCCUUGCUUAGCUUCCUGAGUAGCUAGGAUUACAGAAGUAUACCACUACACCAGGCUGGCACCUGUUCAUUUAGCUUCUUAAAAAAACAUCAGCUCUUUUCCCAGAGAAUAAAAUAACAAUAGCUUCUUUAAUUUGUACUUCCAUACUCAAAUCAUCAGAUUCCUCUUUCCAAGACUUCUACUUUACACUGUUUCAUUGCUCUCUUUGGUUUCCUGUUUUGUGAAGGCAAAAACUAAACAAAAAUUAUAGUAAUCAAUUUCCCAGUCACAAAUGUGGUUUUCAGCUACUUUUAAUACUAUAAUCUCAUGUUUCUGAGAUCCAUAACUUAUUGUUAUUGAUAAAAUAUUGUUCUUUUAUUGAAUCUAAGCUGCCAUCAAUAGUGAGAUGCACUAAGAAAUAAAAAUUCUGGGACACAUCAUUGAUUUUUAAGAUGCAUCCUAAUUUCAGAGAUGUUAAAAGUGGAACACUGCCUCAGAAUUGGAGGAACAUUUAAAAAAAUUUUUUUUAGUUGUUGAUGGACAUAAUACCUUUAUUGAUUUUAUGUGGUGCUGAGACUUGAACCCAGUACCUCACACAUGCUAGGCAAGCACUCUGCCAUUGAGCUACAGCCCCAGCUCUGGAGGAACAUUUUUUUAAAAAUUAUUUUAGUUGUAGAUGGACACAAUACUUUUAUUUUAUUUAUUUAUUUUUAUGUGGUGCUGAGGAUUGAACCCAGUACCUCACAUGUUAGGCAAGCACUCUAACAGUGAGUUAUAUCCCCAGCCCCUGGAGGAACAUUUUAUGUAAAAGAAAAAUGUCAAGAAGCACAUAUCCUAAAGAAGCAUUAGGAUAAGUAUAGUAUGACUCCCAUAGGUUUUUUUUUUUUUUUAAGAGAGAGGAGAGAGAGAGGGAGAGAAUUUUAAUAUUUAUUUUUUAGUUAUCGGCGGAUACAACAUCUUUGUUUUGUAUGUGGUGCUGAGGAUUGAACCCGGGCCGCACGCAUGCCAGGCGAGCACGCUACCGCUUGAGCCACAUCCCCAGCCCUCCCAUAGGUUUUUAACCAACCCAUUCCAGAGAGUUGACUGUAUGGUUCCUUUCUUUUUAUCUUGAUCCAAUCCAAGAUCAGGUAACUGUAAAGCAAUAACACCAUAAUAUUGAUGCUUAUUUAGCUUAUUUUGACCUUACUUUUUUCUAGUGCAUAGCAUACAUUCAUUAGAUGUAUAAAAAGUGAUGGAGAAGGUUAAAAGAUUAAAAGUUAAAGGGACAGCAUUUAGCAAAUAAUGAGGUUCUAGAGAGGAAGCAUAGGGUUCAAUUUGCUUUGCAGAAAAAAAAAUAAUUUUUUGGUAGAGAAGAAGGAAAAGAAAGCUCAAAAAUAAAGGGCCAAGUAAUUUUGAGGUAGGCAAGAAGACAUAAGGAUAGAUAGAAAGGAUACAUGGGAAGAGUGGCCCUGGAUUAAAAAUCUAGAUUUAGAAGUCCCUUUCAUAUCUUAAUCAUAAACAGCACUGUUCAAUCAGUUAUUAGACCUUAUCCACAGGUACACCUAUGUAGUAUCAUGUUCCAAAGCAGAAUGUAUCAAAGACAAGAAAAGUAAAUAAUCCUGGUAUUGCUGUUAUUCCACUAUUCAGCAAAUGAACCCCAUUCUGGUAAUGGUCAGCAUGUCCAGUUAACCAACACAGGGGAGAACUAAAAACAAUCUCUUAGAUCAUGUCUCUGUACUAUUCAUCUUACAAUCAUAUAUAAAUGUGCCUACCUGAGAUAUAGCUAGGGCAUUCCUCUCCUGUGCCCAUACACUACCCUCUCAGAGUGUGUAUUUCUUUCAGUAACCUCAGUCUGUUCCUUACUUAGACCCUUUUUAAAGUUCCUUUAUGUGAUGAUAUUAAGAAUCCAAGGAUUCUCACUGCCUGAGUUGAGGUCCACCUCCCUUCUGGGGGAAACUCCUUGAUACUCCUGCCUGGUGAUGAUUUCAUUUUAUAACAC
This 2300-nucleotide long non-coding RNA is filed under the name Marmota monax (woodchuck). The record is from RNAcentral. Lineage: Eukaryota; Metazoa; Chordata; Mammalia; Rodentia; Sciuridae.